Molecule: ribosomal RNA, 279 nt
Filed under: uncultured bacterium
Lineage: Bacteria
Description: partial 16S ribosomal RNA
Rfam family: Bacterial small subunit ribosomal RNA
Source: RNAcentral
UGCCAGCAGCCGCGGUAAUACGGAGGGGGUUAGCGUUGUUUGGAAUUACUGGGCGUAAAGCGUACGUAGGCGGAUUAAUAAGUUAGAGGUGAAAUCCCAGGGCUCAACCUCGGAACUGCCUCCAAAACUCCCAGUCUAGAGUUCGAGAGAGGUGAGUGGAAUUCCAAGUGUAGAGGUGAAAUUCGUAGGUAUUUGGAGGAACACCAGUGGCGAAGGCGGCUCACUGGCUCGAUACUGACGCUGAGGUGCGAAAGUGUGGGGAGCAAACGGGAUUAGAUA